UAGGACUCAAUCCAAGGGAACCUUGCCU
RNAcentral lists this non-coding RNA (28 nucleotides) under Mus musculus (house mouse). Lineage: Eukaryota; Metazoa; Chordata; Mammalia; Rodentia; Muridae. The record is from RNAcentral.